This 194-nucleotide ribosomal RNA is filed under the name uncultured bacterium. RNAcentral describes it as "partial 16S ribosomal RNA". It matches the Rfam family "Bacterial small subunit ribosomal RNA", at positions 338 to 524 of the family's 1533-position model. The record is from RNAcentral.
CCUACGGGAGGCAGCAGUGGGGAAUAUUGCACAAUGGGCGCAAGCCUGAUGCAGCCAUGCCGCGUGUAUGAAGAAGGCCUUCGGGUUGUAAAGUACUUUCAGCGAGGAGGAAGGCGUUAAGGUUAAUAACCUUAGUGAUUGACGUUACUCGCACAACAAGCACCGGCUAACUCCGUGCCAGCAGCCGCGGUAAU